AGAAGGGCCAUAGCUCAGUAGUAGAGCAUUUGCCUUGCAAGCAGAAGGUUCCAGGUUCAAUUCCUGGCCUUUCCA
Molecule: non-coding RNA, 75 nt
Organism: Podarcis lilfordi (Lilford's wall lizard)
Lineage: Eukaryota; Metazoa; Chordata; Lepidosauria; Squamata; Lacertidae
Source: the annotation of a GenBank genome assembly